RNAcentral lists this long non-coding RNA (1387 nucleotides) under Homo sapiens (human). RNAcentral describes it as "HSALNT0219832". Lineage: Eukaryota; Metazoa; Chordata; Mammalia; Primates; Hominidae. The record is from RNAcentral.
UGGCAGAGGGAGAAAUUAGAAAGAUUCCACCUGAGAAAGUUCGGAGGCGUCAUUGCUGGUUUUGCGAUGUAGAGGCUCACAUAGGAAGUCUGUAGACAGGUUACUAGGAGCUGACACCAGCAACCACCAGUUGACACAGGCAAGAAAACAAUGACCUACAACUGUACAAGGUACUGGGAAUGGUGAUACAACUGCAAACAACUAAAUUCUGCCAAAACCUUAAUAAACCUGGAAAUGUACUCCUACCAGAACUUCCCAAUAAGAUCCCUGUUGAUUGUCACCUUCCUUUGGACCUUGCUGGACGUUGAACCAGGGGAGCUGGUUGAGCCCACUCAGACUUCGGACCUACAGAAGUGUGAGGUCUUGUGCAGGUCCAGACUCAGAGUGAAGAACGUGAAGAUCUUGCUGCCUCAGGUGAGAAACUUAAAUGGAUGUCAAAUAAACUCAGUAAUCAAGGUAAAUGAUAAUGUAAUAUUUUAUUAAAUCAAAAUUAAUGUGGGAAAUCCAUGAUGAACAACAUAUUAACAUUGUAAAUUAAGACAAAAUCAAUAUUACUGAUGUUUUCUUUUGCUUCAUGCUUCCAUGUGGCUUGGCAAUGGUGCUGUGCUGUUACUGAUCCUAUGGGACUGCUGAGCAUCUGCUAGAGAUGAUAACAAAAAGAGUCAAAGGUUCUAGAUUUUGAGGCCUUUGAAGAUAGAAACAAUGGAGCCAGUUCCUUGAACACAGGAGUUAAUCAAUGACAGAGAAUAGAAAUAUGAGAUGUGACAAUGGAAAUGAUAAUGAAAGGAUGAAUGUUAAAUACAUUGCAGAGGAGUAAGAACUGGCAAGAAUUGACAAAUGAUGAGUUAAGCGAGAAGGAGAAUCUUUGGAGGAAAAGCUGAUCUGUGAGACAAUAAAGGAAAAGUGUUAAUGUUUAUGCCAUAUGAACCUUUAGAAGGAAAUCAUUUUCUGACGGAAGCUUGCUUGUAUCAAUACAUCCAUGCAUGGAAAGAAAUAUUCUCUUCAACAUCCCCAUGUCUUUUGUAUGCUAUCCUAUUCCACCAGCCCUGAAUUAGUGCUUUUGCUCUGCAGCUAACUCUCUCAAGUUCCUCUUUUUGAAGUCCGAAUCUCUCUCUUGAAUGUUUCUGGCCUCAGUAUCUACCCUGUAAACACACUAAACCUGAUCCAUUUACAGACUAGAUAGUUUUUUGGUCCAAAAGAUAAUUCAUGGAAUUUCCCUAAUAAAUAUAUAUUAAUUUCUAUUACUUUAACAAUUGAUUUUCAUUGAUCCUGAUGAGGAUUGGCUAUUAGUUCAUUACUAUGUGUAUUUUGUAAAGAUAUACAUGGCUGGCAGAAAAGAAGAUAUUGUAUGCCAUAAAAUAUUAUGAGACAAUUUUUUAAAAAUAAG